This 465-nucleotide ribosomal RNA is filed under the name Vreelandella stevensii. RNAcentral's name for it is "partial 16S ribosomal RNA". It matches the Rfam family "Bacterial small subunit ribosomal RNA", at positions 338 to 795 of the family's 1533-position model. The record is from RNAcentral. Lineage: Bacteria; Pseudomonadati; Pseudomonadota; Gammaproteobacteria; Oceanospirillales; Halomonadaceae.
CCUACGGGAGGCAGCAGUGGGGAAUAUUGGACAAUGGGGGGAACCCUGAUCCAGCCAUGCCGCGUGUGUGAAGAAGGCCCUCGGGUUGUAAGGCACUUUCAGUGAGGAAGAACGCCUGGUGGUUAAUACCCAUCAGGAAAGACAUCACUCACAGAAGAAGCACCGGCUAACUCCGUGCCAGCAGCCGCGGUAAUACGGAGGGUGCGAGCGUUAAUCGGAAUUACUGGGCGUAAAGCGCGCGUAGGUGGCUUGAUAAGCCGGUUGUGAAAGCCCCGGGCUCAACCUGGGAACGGCAUCCGGAACUGUCAAGCUAGAGUGCAGGAGAGGAAGGUAGAAUUCCCGGUGUAGCGGUGAAAUGCGUAGAGAUCGGGAGGAAUACCAGUGGCGAAGGCGGCCUUCUGGACUGACACUGACACUGAGGUGCGAAAGCGUGGGUAGCAAACAGGAUUAGAUACCCUUGUAGUC